Long non-coding RNA from Fukomys damarensis (Damara mole-rat), 1677 nucleotides. Lineage: Eukaryota; Metazoa; Chordata; Mammalia; Rodentia; Bathyergidae. The record is from Ensembl.
GUCCUUUUCAAGGUGUCCUGUGACAAAUACCCUUGGAAGCUGACACAGCAAAGCCAGCGGUGAGCGCCUGGCCUCAGGAGGUGCCAGGUUUCAGCUGUGGUGCAAGCAGGAGAGGGUGAGGAACACCUCGCAGUUUUGGGCCGCAGGGAAGGUCGCCCUGUUGGUGUCCCCCCACUCCCGCCCCAGGGGCAGGCUCAGCUAGCAGCCUCUGGCAGCGCGCACGGGCCAUGCCUCCCUCUGGUGUGCGCCGUGUUUAUCUUCCAAGCCAUAGGGAGACUGGCUGUCCGCCUAACUGAGCAGAGAUCAGAAAGAAUCCGGCCCCUGUGUGGUUAAAUAAAGACAGGCCCCUCCCCGCGUCCCAAGGCCUCUCCUACACCCGCUCUGCUUAUCUGCCCGUUUUAAUCCCAGCUGCACCCUCUGACCAGCCGAAGCCCAGGCCCUGGGAGACUUAUCCAGAGGGCUGGAAUUCGCCCAGGCACCCCUCUAGCUGGCCACUUGCGGACUCGAUUAUGCGCCUGACACUUCAACAGCCGAAGGGGGAGGCUGGGGGCUCACAGUCUCCAGCGCAGGCCCCCGGGUGCGGCAGUCAAGGGGAGGCCGACCAGCUCCCCCUUGAUCUAACAGCCUGCUGCCUUUGCUGCCUGCGUCACCGUCCAGGGCCAUGUGUGGUGCUGAACUCAUGUUCUUCCAGACCCGGAACUCAGGUUCUUCCUCCAGACUGGAGCAACGGCUGUCAGCUCUGUCCCUGCUCGCUCAGCAUGACGAUCUCACGCAAUGGAAGGAACUCAGAAGAGGUUCCAGGUCCGGCACCCAGCAGCCACAAGCCUGGCGACACUGGCAAAGUGCUAACUCUCCCGUGGACUCAGUUUCCUCAUCUGUAAAGUGGGAAGUUAUCAUCCUUCUAGUUACAGAGCCAAUUGGUAGGACAACACCUGAGGCUGCUUCCCUUAGCAGUUACUUUGAAAGCUGCCUAUUACUAGUAGUUUUGUGAAUCACACUUUUCACCAUAAAUGUAAUUUAUUUCACUUGAAAUUUGAUUUUUGCAUUAUUCUGGGCAACAUGGUAUCCCUAUCAUGGGAAGCUUAAAUUAAAUGAAAAAUGAAAAACACUGAUGUCUUAAUAUUACUCUUCCCACUAAAAUGAGAAAUUAUCUCCUCAUUCAGAUUUUGAAUACAAAUGCUAGUCUAGCUUUUAAGUAGCACACACGUUGAUUUUCCUGCCUGGCCUUUGAGAAUAUUCACUAUAAAAUAAGGCUCUCUGUGAAGAGGUCUCCCCAAGUAAUAACCCUACAAUUUCCCUUCUUCUUGACAAUCCCAAAGAACCCUCAGCAUUCGUGCACACUUAUUCUAGAGGAAUAUGCCCUAUUUUGAUACAUGUUCCUCUGACCACGCCUGCAAAGAUAACAGUACUGAUUUUUCAAGCGAGCAAGAAGGGAAACUUACUUCCAUGAAUCUCAGGCUAAUGACUGCUCUCUCCUGACCAAGCCAACCUCUCAAAAUCUAACCCCACAGAUUCUUCUUUCAGCCAGUGUGUGCUUUACCAUAAAAGCCAGAAACCUUUCUGCUUCCUGUACUGCAGAAAGGGAUGCCAAUAUUUUCUUUAUUUUACCUCAAGUCAUCUUGUAAAUCCAUGGCAAAUUAGGUACGGAGAGUUAAAAAAGAAAUAAAAACCCGGGAA